AUUGAACGCUGGCGGCAGGCUUAACACAUGCAAGUCGAGCGGAGAUGAGGUGCUUGCACCUUAUCUUAGCGGCGGACGGGUGAGUAAUGCUUAGGAAUCUGCCUAUUAGUGGGGGACAACAUUCCGAAAGGAAUGCUAAUACCGCAUACGUCCUACGGGAGAAAGCAGGGGAUCUUCGGACCUUGCGCUAAUAGAUGAGCCUAAGUCGGAUUAGCUAGCUGGUGGGGUAAAGGCCUACCAAGGCGACGAUCUGUAGCGGGUCUGAGAGGAUGAUACGCCACACUGGGACUGAGAGACGGCCCAGACUCCUACGGGAGGCAGCAGCGGGGGAUAUUGGACAAUGGGGGGAACCCAGAUCCAGCCAUGCCGCGUGUGUGAAGAAGGACUUAUGGUUGUAAAGCACUUUAAGCGAGGAGGAGGCUACUGAGACUAAUACUCUUGGAUAGUGGACGUUACUCGCAGAAUAAGCACCGGCUAACUCUGUGCCAGCCGCCGCCGUAA
RNAcentral lists this ribosomal RNA (501 nucleotides) under uncultured bacterium. Its description in RNAcentral is "partial 16S ribosomal RNA". It matches the Rfam family "Bacterial small subunit ribosomal RNA", at positions 30 to 523 of the family's 1533-position model. The record is from RNAcentral.